UUUAUGGAGAGUUUGAUCCUGGCUCAGGACGAACGCUGGCGGCGUGCCUAAUACAUGCAAGUCGAGCGAACAGAAAAGGAGCUUGCUCCUUUGACGUUAGCGGCGGACGGGUGAGUAACACGUGGGCAACCUACCCUAUAGUUUGGGAUAACUCCGGGAAACCGGGGCUAAUACCGAAUAAUCUCUUUUGCUUCAUGGUGA
RNAcentral lists this ribosomal RNA (201 nucleotides) under Lysinibacillus capsici. Its description in RNAcentral is "partial 16S ribosomal RNA". It matches the Rfam family "Bacterial small subunit ribosomal RNA", at positions 1 to 196 of the family's 1533-position model. Lineage: Bacteria; Bacillati; Bacillota; Bacilli; Caryophanales; Bacillaceae. The record is from RNAcentral. RNAcentral also lists the same sequence under 1 other name.